RNAcentral lists this ribosomal RNA (252 nucleotides) under uncultured bacterium. Its description in RNAcentral is "partial 16S ribosomal RNA". It matches the Rfam family "Bacterial small subunit ribosomal RNA", at positions 524 to 776 of the family's 1533-position model. The record is from RNAcentral.
UACGUAUGGUGCAAGCGUUAUCCGGAUUUAUUGGGUUUAAAGGGUGCGUAGGCGGACGCUUAAGUCAGCGGUAAAAUUGCGGGGCUCAACCUCGUCGAGCCGUUGAAACUGGGUGCCUUGAGUGGGCGAGAAGUACGCGGAAUGCGUGGUGUAGCGGUGAAAUGCAUAGAUGUCACGCAGAACUCCGAUUGCGAAGGCAGCGUACCGGCGCCCAACUGACGCUGAAGCACGAAGGCGUGGGUAUCGAACAGG